GGGUGACCUUGGGCGAGUCGCCCUCACCUCUCCGGGCCGUACUGGGCUCCUCCCCGCGGCCCCGGACGGCCAGGACACUGCCCGGAGUUCGGUUCGACGCCCGGCCCCGAAGGCAGGCCCUUAACCCACGAGGACAAGAGUGUCGACGAAGUGGGAACGGAAUUACCAACCCCCAACCUGGCCAGGCCCCCGAAACCGAAUAUUCAUGGGCAGGAAAUGUUUUUUUUCUAAAGAAUUGCUUAGGGCGGAGUUGAACCAACGUGAUUGGGACUCAGAUACCUGAGAUUUUAUCCUGGCCCUGGCCCUGCCCCUUACCAACUCUGCAGCAGUCAUUUCCUCAGUGGACCUCAGUUUCUCUAUUGUAAAACGAACCAAUGGUAAAUGACAGUGAUUUCAAACUUCAAUGCACAUUCAAUAAAUAUUUACUAACCUCGUACUGUGAGAGCCUGAAGGGUUCUAGGAAAGAGUUUGGCAAUCAGGCGAACAAGGUCUCUAUCCUGGAAUUUACACUCCGAGGUGGAGAAAGACAAUAAACAGUGAUAAAUGCUUGUUUCCUUUCUAUGAAGACAAUAACUACUACAGUGGUUGGUUAAACUAGAUCAGCUACUUCAGUAUGGAUGAUGAGGGAAAACCUUGAAUGCAGAUUCCAAAUGUUUUCGAAUGGAAUAUGUCUGGGAUCGGACCUUGAAACCCGCAAGUCUAACAAACUUCCUUGGAUGCUUACCCAUUUGGUGGUCCCACACUUCACUUGGAGAAUUCCUGGUUCUGACUGGCUGUGAUCCCACCACCUCAAGACAUAACAGCCUGGAAUGUUGGCCAUCUCCAAGUGCUGACAACUUCCUGAAGACAGAAGAGGCCACAUGAGGGACAGAUAGCCUAGAGACCUGAUUGAUAAGCUGCAGACCAUCUCUGGCUUUGCUGAAUGACUUUGGGCAGCCUCUUUGCCUUCCCGGGCUUCCAUUUCUCUCUCCACAAAAUGGGAAGCAUAAUACCUGCCUCUCUGGCUUAUCAAGUUGAAGAAAGGUACAGUUUCCAUGAAACUUCAUUCUUUUGGGGGAAGCAUUGGUAAAAGGUGGUGAGGUUC
Molecule: long non-coding RNA, 1084 nt
Filed under: Lynx canadensis (Canada lynx)
Lineage: Eukaryota; Metazoa; Chordata; Mammalia; Carnivora; Felidae
Description: lncRNA (ENSLCNG00005005331.1)
Source: RNAcentral